AGUGAACGCUGGCGGUAGGCCUAACACAUGCAAGUCGAACGGCAGCACAGUAAGAGCUUGCUCUUACGGGUGGCGAGUGGCGGACGGGUGAGGAAUACAUCGGAAUCUACUUUUUCGUGGGGGAUAACGUAGGUAAACUUACGCUAAUACCGCAUACGACCUACGGGUGAAAGCAGGGGAUCUUCGGACCUUGCGCGAUUGAAUGAGCCGAUGUCGGAUUAGCUAGUUGGCGGGGUAAAGGCCCACCAAGGCGACGAUCCGUAGCUGGUCUGAGAGGAUGAUCAGCCACACUGGAACUGAGACACGGUCCAGACUCCUACGGGAGGCAGCAGUGGGGAAUAUUGGACAAUGGGCGCAAGCCUGAUACAGCCAUACCGCGUGGGUGAAGAAGGCCUUCGGGUUGUAAAGCCCUUUUGUUGGGAAAGAAAAGCAGCAGGUUAAUACCCCGCUGUUCUGACGGUACCCAAAGAAUAAGCACCGGCUAACUUCGUG
RNAcentral lists this ribosomal RNA (492 nucleotides) under uncultured bacterium. RNAcentral's name for it is "partial 16S ribosomal RNA". It matches the Rfam family "Bacterial small subunit ribosomal RNA", at positions 29 to 507 of the family's 1533-position model. The record is from RNAcentral.